Molecule: long non-coding RNA, 392 nt
Filed under: Rattus norvegicus (Norway rat)
Lineage: Eukaryota; Metazoa; Chordata; Mammalia; Rodentia; Muridae
Description: long non-coding RNA NONRATT002410
Source: RNAcentral
GAGGACUACCAUCUAUGCUCUCUCCUGUUUGUAGGACACAUCAUCCAGUGACAGUGACUCAGAUGAUGAUGGGGGUGACCGGCUCUCUCCACUUCUUCCCCAUGACCACCUGGGCCUGGCGGUGUUCUCUGUGCUGUGCUGCUUUUGGCCUGUGGGCAUCGCUGCCUUCUGUCUGGCCCACAAGACCCGCCCUAGUUGCUCUUCGGCCCCCACUGUGAAUGCAGAGACCAGAGGACCAUCAAACCCGUGAGCAGAAUGGAUGAUCUUGGUGCACACAUGGUGACGGCGAGGACAUCACUCAGAAACAAGUCAGCUGGAGGUCCCCUCCCUUUCCUGGCCACCCCCACCCUCCAGAAAGAAGCAAUGUGAGAGAUUAAAGAUACCCUGAAGCC